UGCGGAGGGUGCAAGCGUUAUCCGGAUUCACUGGGUUUAAAGGGUGCGUAGGUGGGCAGGUAAGUCAGUGGUGAAAUCUCCGGGCUUAACCCGGAAACUGCCAUUGAUACUAUUUGUCUUGAAUACUGUGGAGGUCAGCGGAAUAUGUCAUGUAGCGGUGAAAUGCUUAGAUAUGACAUAGAACACCAAUUGCGAAGGCAGCUGGCUACACAAAUAUUGACACUGAGGCACGAAAGCGUGGGGAUCAAACAGG
Molecule: ribosomal RNA, 253 nt
Filed under: uncultured bacterium
Lineage: Bacteria
Description: partial 16S ribosomal RNA
Rfam family: Bacterial small subunit ribosomal RNA
Source: RNAcentral